GACGAACGCUGGCGGCGUGCUUAACACAUGCAAGUCGAACGGAAAGGCCCUGCUUUUGUGGGGUGCUCGAGUGGCGAACGGGUGAGUAACACGUGAGUAACCUGCCCUUGACUUUGGGAUAACUUCAGGAAACUGGGGCUAAUACCGGAUAGGAGCUCCUGCUGCAUGGUGGGGGUUGGAAAGUUUCGGCGGUUGGGGCUGGACUCGCGGCUUAUCAGCUUGUUGGUGGGGUAGUGGCUUACCAAGGCUUUGACGGGUAGCCGGCCUGAGAGGGUGACCGGCCACAUUGGGACUGGGAUACGGCCCAGACUCCUACGGGAGGCAGCGGUGGAGAAUAUUGCACAAUGGGCGGAAGCCUGAUGCAGCAACGCCGCGUGCGGGAUGACGGCCUUCGGGUUGUAAACCGCUUUCGCCUGUGACGAAGCGUGAGUGACGGUAAUGGGUAAAGAAGCACCGGCUAACUACGUG
RNAcentral lists this ribosomal RNA (468 nucleotides) under uncultured bacterium. RNAcentral's name for it is "partial 16S ribosomal RNA". It matches the Rfam family "Bacterial small subunit ribosomal RNA", at positions 28 to 507 of the family's 1533-position model. The record is from RNAcentral.